UUCAUGCAUUUAACAGAAUGAAACGCUGCAUCUGAUAUGACCAGAAUGGA
Molecule: small RNA, 50 nt
Filed under: Salix viminalis (osier)
Lineage: Eukaryota; Viridiplantae; Streptophyta; Magnoliopsida; Malpighiales; Salicaceae
Source: RNAcentral